GAUGAACGCUGGCGGCGCGCCUAACACAUGCAAGUCGAACGAUUAAAGCACCUUCGGGUGUGUAUAAAGUGGCGAACGGCUGAGUAACACGUGGGCAACCUGCCCCUUUCAUUGGGAUAGCCACGGGAAACCGUGGGUAAUACCGAAUACUUCGAAACUUCCGCAUGGAAGACUCGAGAAAGCUCCGGCGGAGGGGGAUGGGCCCGCGGCCUGUUAGCUUGUUGGUGGGGUAACGGCCUACCAAGGCAAUGAUGGGUAGCUGGGUUGAGAGACCGACCAGCCAGAUUGGGACUGAGACACGGCCCAGAAUCCUACGGGAGGCAGCAGUGGGGAAUCUUGCACAAUGGGCGAAAGCCUGAUGCAGCGACGCCGCGUGCGGGAUGAAGGCCUUCGGGUUGUAAACCGCUUUCAGCAGGGACGAGGCGAAAGUGACGGUACCUGCAGAAGAAGCCCCGGCUAACUACGUG
This 467-nucleotide ribosomal RNA is filed under the name uncultured bacterium. RNAcentral describes it as "partial 16S ribosomal RNA". It matches the Rfam family "Bacterial small subunit ribosomal RNA", at positions 28 to 507 of the family's 1533-position model. The record is from RNAcentral.